GAUGAAGAACGCAGCGAAAUGCGAUAAGUAAUGUGAAUUGCAGAAUUCAGUGAAUCAUCGAAUCUUUGAACGCACAUUGCGCCCGCCAGUAUUCUGGCGGGCAUGCCUGUUCGAGCGUCAUUUCAACCAUCAAGCCCCAGGCUUGUGUUGGGGACCUGCGGCUGCCGCAGGCCCUGAAAACCAGUGGCGGGCUCGCUGUCACACCGGGCGUAGUAGAUUUUAUCUCGCUCAGGGCGUGCUGCGGGUUCCGGCCGUUAAAAAGCCUUUUUUACCCAAGGUUGACCUCGGAUCAGGUAGGAAGACCCGCUGAACUUAAGCAUAUCAAUAAGCGAGA
Molecule: unclassified non-coding RNA, 334 nt
Filed under: soil metagenome
Description: partial contains 5.8S ribosomal RNA, internal transcribed spacer 2, and large subunit ribosomal RNA
Rfam family: 5.8S ribosomal RNA (bases 1-120)
Source: RNAcentral